This is a long non-coding RNA of Melospiza georgiana, 599 nucleotides long. RefSeq lists it as uncharacterized. The record is from RefSeq and is a predicted model, not a curated record. Lineage: Eukaryota; Metazoa; Chordata; Aves; Passeriformes; Passerellidae. The transcript is spliced from 3 exons.
GAUGCUACCUUUCAGUUUGCAUAUUGAGAUUGUUUACACACGAUUAGCUAAUAUAUUAAGCUUCUUAAAGGAAAAAAAAAGGUAAAGCUCAGGGUUUAGUUUUGAUUUGCAUUCUUCAUCCACUCUCUCCUUCACAAUACACCACCUGGAGAACAGCAAGGACUUGGCCAUCCCUGCCAACAGCUGGCUUUUGGAGAAGGGUAACAAAUGGUUAAAAUUCCACCAAAGGUUGCAGUGUCCAGGUGAUUCAGCACAUCCUCAGGGCAGAGAAACUCAGCUGCAGACCCAGCUGGCACUUCCCUGGGCUAACAGGACAGAGACCAUCAUUCCCUGAUCCAGAGACCUUCUGGGCAUCUCCAGGACACCCCUGCCAGGUCUUACAGAAGGAAAGCUCUUCCAGCUCAAAAAGAGAUUGCAGUGAAACCAAAGGGGAGACCCGGAGGAAAGCAAAGAGAUGAGAAACAGAUCUCCAGAAGAAAGAGAAACACCAUCUUUGUUCCUGAGAGGAAUGAUUUGUCUUUACAAACAAGCUGUGGGUCUGCUGGUAGAUAAAACCAGCACUGAGAGGUGAAAGAAACAAUGGGAAGGAUUCCACUGAU